AACGAACGCUGGCGGCAAGCUUAACACAUGCAAGUCGAGCGCAUCCUUCGGGAUGAGCGGCAGACGGGUGAGUAACGCGUGGGAAUCUACCCUUUUCUACGGAAUAACGCAGGGAAACUUGUGCUAAUACCGGAUGUGCCCUUCGGGGGAAAGAUUUAUCGCCAAAGGAUUGGCCCGCGUCUGAUUAGCUAGUUGGUGAGGUAACGGCUCACCAAGGCGACGAUCAGUAGCUGGUCUGAGAGGAUGAUCAGCCACACUGGGACUGAGACACGGCCCAGACUCCUACGGGAGGCGGCAGUGGGGAAUAUUGGACAAUGGGCGCAAGCCUGAUCCAGCCAUGCCGCGUGAGUGAUGAAGGCCUUAGGGUUGUAAAGCUCUUUCACCGGGGAAGAUAAUGACGGUACCCGGAGAAGAAGCCCCGGCUAACUUCGUG
Molecule: ribosomal RNA, 433 nt
Filed under: uncultured bacterium 'eubacterium sp.'
Lineage: Bacteria
Also listed under: 1 other name
Description: bacterial SSU rRNA
Rfam family: Bacterial small subunit ribosomal RNA
Source: RNAcentral